GAUAUGCGAUAAGUAAUGUGAAUUGCAGAAUUCAGUGAAUCAUCGAAUCUUUGAACGCACCUUGCGCUCCUUGGUAUUCCUUGGAGCAUGCCUGUUUGAGUAUCAUGAAAUCUUCAAAGUAAAUCUUUUGUUAACUCAAUUGGUUUCUACUUUGGUAUUGGAGGUCUUUGCAGCUUCACACCUGCUCCUCUUUGUUCAUUAGCUGGAUCUCAGUGUUAUGCUUGGUUCCACUCGGCGUGAUAAGUUAUCUAUCGCUGAGGACACUGUAAAAGGUGGCCAAGGUAAAUGCAGAUGAACCGCUUCUAAUAGUCCAUUGACUUGGACAAUACUUUUAUGAUCUGAUCUCAAAUCAGGUAGGACUACCCGCUGAACUUAAGC
Molecule: unclassified non-coding RNA, 378 nt
Filed under: plant metagenome
Description: partial contains 5.8S ribosomal RNA, internal transcribed spacer 2, and large subunit ribosomal RNA
Rfam family: 5.8S ribosomal RNA (bases 1-105)
Source: RNAcentral